AUUCCAGGAAUGUACUACCAAAGUUCUAUCAAUAUUUGAAUGUCCUGGACAUUUAGGGAACAUUCGGUGAACAUCUGUUUAAAUUAUUCCUGGAAUGUUACCAUAAGACAUUCUGUGAACAUACUACCAAUGUUCCUAUAUUUUAAGUUGCGAAAUAAUACAUACGUGUAAGAGAUACAACAUUACUUAUAACAUACCAGACAAACUAAGUGACAUUUUAGGCCUACACUGCAAUAAUAUGUCAAAUUUAAAGAGUUUCCCAAGAUUAUAAACAUACAAAUGUAAUAAAAAUUAUUGUUCGCGAAUAUUCAAUUUGGAAUGCGAUUUUGUUAAUAAAAAAAAUACUUAUAACUUAUGCAAAACCCAAGAGAGGCAUUUAUAUUUAUUUCUUUUGCGUUCAUUUUCAAAUUCGCCGUGCAUAUAUUUUUGUGCAUGGCGCUUGAGAGGGCAUCACGUGACUAAAAACGACCAACCAACGACCUCGCUUCGGCCAUCUUGGCAUCUUCAUCUUGGCGACCUUGCCUUGCCGUGGAUUGUUUUUAGUUGUUUGUAUUAUUUGUGCUUUUUAAGAAUAUUUUUUUAAUUCGGAUACUUUUAUAAUAGCUUUAAUAGUAUUAUUAACAUAGUGCAUAAAAUGGUGUCCUGUUUUUAACGCAGUUGGAGUAGCAGAAACAAAUGUAGAUAAAAAAAUCUGCAGGAAUAACGUUUCAAUUAUGACAGAAGCUCAAAACAAAUGACUGUGAAUGGAAUGAAAAGCCCUAUUAAAAGCUUUCCAGAAGAUCCUGCGAAGAAGACAUGAAGUAUAGAUCAGAUUUGUUAAUAGAGGAGUAUGUUCAAAACACUUUUUAGAAAAAGAUAUUGACAGAACUUCACUUUCAUCUGUUCGUUUGAGAGACUGUGCUGUUCCAAUAGCUUAUGUCACACAGAAUCAGCUGAGAGAAGUGGUCUACAAAAAACCAGAAAGGAAACGGAAUAUGUGGCUACGAAAAGCAAAAGAAAGGUUUACAAAGCAAAUGUGACACAUUUUUUUAUAAUAUUUAGGAAUGUCAGCAAAUUACAUUAAAAAAUGUAUGUAAAGAUUUUUUGCAAUAAAAAUGUUUAUAUUUA
Molecule: long non-coding RNA, 1107 nt
Organism: Diabrotica virgifera virgifera (western corn rootworm)
Lineage: Eukaryota; Metazoa; Arthropoda; Insecta; Coleoptera; Chrysomelidae
Exons: 3
Source: RefSeq, a predicted model, not a curated record